CCUACGGGUGGCAGCAGUGGGGAAUAUUGCACAAUGGUGGAAACCCUGAUGCAGCGACGCCGCGUGCGUGAAGAAGGAAUUCGUUAUGUAAAGCUCUAUCAGCAGGGAAGAAAAUGACGUUACCUGAGUAAGAAGCCCCGUCUAACUUCGUGCCAGCAGCCGCGGUACUACGUAGGGGGCAAGCGUUAUCCGGAUUUACUGGGUGUAAAGGGAGCGUAGACGGCAUUGCAGGACUGGAGUGAAAGGCGUGGGCUCAACCCGGGCACUGCUCUGGAAACUGUACGGCUGGAGUGCAGGAGAGGUAAGUGGAAUUCGUGGUGUAGCGGUGAAAUGCGUAGAUAUUAGGAGGAACACCAGUGGCGAAGGCGGCUUACUGCAGUGGAACUGACGUUGAGGCUCGAAAGCGUGGGGAGCAAACAGGAUUAGAUACCCUUGUAGUC
Molecule: ribosomal RNA, 440 nt
Filed under: uncultured bacterium
Lineage: Bacteria
Description: partial 16S ribosomal RNA
Rfam family: Bacterial small subunit ribosomal RNA
Source: RNAcentral